Molecule: ribosomal RNA, 253 nt
Filed under: uncultured bacterium
Lineage: Bacteria
Description: partial 16S ribosomal RNA
Rfam family: Bacterial small subunit ribosomal RNA
Source: RNAcentral
UACGUAGGGCGCAAGCGUUAUCCGGAAUUAUUGGGCGUAAAGAGCUCGUAGGCGGUUUGUCGCGUCUGCCGUGAAAGUCCGGGGCUCAACUCCGGAUCUGCGGUGGGUACGGGCAGACUAGAGUGAUGUAGGGGAGACUGGAAUUCCUGGUGUAGCGGUGAAAUGCGCAGAUAUCAGGAGGAACACCGAUGGCGAAGGCAGGUCUCUGGGCAUUAACUGACGCUGAGGAGCGGAAGCAUGGGGAGCGAACAGG